RNAcentral lists this ribosomal RNA (229 nucleotides) under uncultured Staphylococcus sp. RNAcentral's name for it is "partial 16S ribosomal RNA". It matches the Rfam family "Bacterial small subunit ribosomal RNA", at positions 111 to 334 of the family's 1533-position model. Lineage: Bacteria; Bacillati; Bacillota; Bacilli; Caryophanales; Staphylococcaceae. The record is from RNAcentral.
UAACACGUGGAUAACCUACCUAUAAGACUGGGAUAGCUUCGGGAAACCGGAGCUAAUACCGGAUGAUAUUUUGAACCGCAUGGUUCAAAAGUGAAAGACGGUCUUGCUGUCACUUAUAGAUGGAUCCGCGCUGCAUUAGCUAGUUGGUAAGGUAACGGCUUACCAAGGCAACGAUGCAUAGCCGACCUGAGAGGGUGAUCGGCCACACUGGAACUGAGACACGGUCCAG